UUUUAGUCACUCCAUGAACGCAUACUGGUUAGUGUUAGUCAUACUAUUUAUGUACAUCUCAUUUGCUGUCAAUUCUUGCUUAUAAGUUAUUGGAUCCCUCAUUGGCUACUGUUUGAUGUUCUGUACAUAUUCUUAUUCUUAUAUGUUCAUUCUUGUUUUUUGCACGGGUGAAGUGCGAAUCCAAGUUCGAAGCUGUGAAGCAUAUCAACAAAGACUAGCAUAUUAUGUGUUGUAAAUGUAGGCAGUAGUAGGCUUAUCUGGGCUGUAGUAUACUGUAACGUUUGUAAUAGACUAGUGCCGUGUUGUUUUGGACGAAUUUCAUUUGCUAUUUGGAUUGUUUGGAAUAAUGAUUGUGUAUGUGAUUUGAAUACCCGAGAUCGGAAGAG
Long non-coding RNA from Triticum dicoccoides, 386 nucleotides. RefSeq lists it as uncharacterized. NCBI's taxonomy places the organism in Eukaryota, Viridiplantae, Streptophyta, Magnoliopsida, Poales, Poaceae. The transcript is spliced from 3 exons. The record is from RefSeq and is a predicted model, not a curated record.